AAAUUGAAGAGUUUGAUCAUGGCUCAGAUUGAACGCUGGCGGCAGGCCUAACACAUGCAAGUCGAGCGGUAGCACAGAGAGCUUGCUCUCGGGUGACGAGCGGCGGACGGGUGAGUAAUGUCUGGGAAACUGCCUGAUGGAGGGGGAUAACUACUGGAAACGGUAGCUAAUACCGCAUAAUGUCGCAAGACCAAAGUGGGGGACCUUCGGGCCUCAUGCCAUCAGAUGUGCCCAGAUGGGAUUAGCUAGUAGGUGGGGUAACGGCUCACCUAGGCGACGAUCCCUAGCUGGUCUGAGAGGAUGACCAGCCACACUGGAACUGAGACACGGUCCAGACUCCUACGGGAGGCAGCAGUGGGGAAUAUUGCACAAUGGGCGCAAGCCUGAUGCAGCCAUGCCGCGUGUGUGAAGAAGGCCUUCGGGUUGUAAAGCACUUUCAGCGGGGAGGAAGGCGGUGAGGUUAAUAACCUCACCGAUUGACGUUACCCGCAGAAGAAGCACCGGCUAACUCCGUGCCAGCAGCCGCGGUAAUACGGAGGGUGCAAGCGUUAAUCGGAAUUACUGGGCGUAAAGCGCACGCAGGCGGUCUGUCAAGUCGGAUGUGAAAUCCCCGGGCUCAACCUGGGAACUGCAUUCGAAACUGGCAGGCUAGAGUCUUGUAGAGGGGGGUAGAAUUCCAGGUGUAGCGGUGAAAUGCGUAGAGAUCUGGAGGAAUACCGGUGGCGAAGGCGGCCCCCUGGACAAAGACUGACGCUCAGGUGCGAAAGCGUGGGGAGCAAACAGGAUUAGAUACCCUGGUAGUCCACGCCGUAAACGAUGUCGAUUUGGAGGUUGUGCCCUUGAGGCGUGGCUUCCGGAGCUAACGCGUUAAAUCGACCGCCUGGGGAGUACGGCCGCAAGGUUAAAACUCAAAUGAAUUGACGGGGGCCCGCACAAGCGGUGGAGCAUGUGGUUUAAUUCGAUGCAACGCGAAGAACCUUACCUGGUCUUGACAUCCACAGAACUUUCCAGAGAUGGAUUGGUGCCUUCGGGAACUGUGAGACAGGUGCUGCAUGGCUGUCGUCAGCUCGUGUUGUGAAAUGUUGGGUUAAGUCCCGCAACGAGCGCAACCCUUAUCCUUUGUUGCCAGCGGUCCGGCCGGGAACUCAAAGGAGACUGCCAGUGAUAAACUGGAGGAAGGUGGGGAUGACGUCAAGUCAUCAUGGCCCUUACGACCAGGGCUACACACGUGCUACAAUGGCAUAUACAAAGAGAAGCGACCUCGCGAGAGCAAGCGGACCUCAUAAAGUAUGUCGUAGUCCGGAUUGGAGUCUGCAACUCGACUCCAUGAAGUCGGAAUCGCUAGUAAUCGUAGAUCAGAAUGCUACGGUGAAUACGUUCCCGGGCCUUGUACACACCGCCCGUCACACCAUGGGAGUGGGUUGCAAAAGAAGUAGGUAGCUUAACCUUCGGGAGGGCGCUUACCACUUUGUGAUUCAUGACUGGGGUGAAGUCGUAACAAGGUAACCGUAGGGGAACCUGCGG
This 1524-nucleotide ribosomal RNA is filed under the name Klebsiella pneumoniae. RNAcentral's name for it is "bacterial SSU rRNA". It matches the Rfam family "Bacterial small subunit ribosomal RNA". Lineage: Bacteria; Pseudomonadati; Pseudomonadota; Gammaproteobacteria; Enterobacterales; Enterobacteriaceae. The record is from RNAcentral.